GGGAAGCAUCAAAUCGGGGAAAGAAAAGGGAAAGAGAAGGGGGGAAGGGAGAGUAUGCCUGUUUGAGGGUCAGCCUAAAUAAAAUCGGCUUAGUAGAUUACUGUGUGGGUAACGAUAACGUUGGUCGGAAUUUGGGUCAUCUUAAACCGAAAGGUCUUUAAGCGACUUAAAAUUUUCUUACGAUCUCGCGAACGUUUCUAAGAUUUUCUUCGAAGUUGAAGUUAUCGAUAUCAGACGUGCAGGGGU
Molecule: unclassified non-coding RNA, 246 nt
Filed under: Glomus sp.
Lineage: Eukaryota; Fungi; Glomeromycota; Glomeromycetes; Glomerales; Glomeraceae
Description: partial internal transcribed spacer 2
Source: RNAcentral